This 839-nucleotide long non-coding RNA is filed under the name Nicotiana benthamiana. RNAcentral describes it as "long non-coding RNA (NBEN_LNC022559)". Lineage: Eukaryota; Viridiplantae; Streptophyta; Magnoliopsida; Solanales; Solanaceae. The record is from RNAcentral.
UUCUUUCAUUCCCUAUCUGCUCCCCUGCUAUUGAUGAAUCAUUACUCAGUCCUUCCCCAACAUCUGAUACUUCUCCUUCCCUUUCUCCUUCUGUCUCUAAUCCCUGUCCUACUGAUGCCGUUCCAUUACAUACCACUACCACCACUUCCCAUUCUUUUCCACCUCCAGAACCUGUGUUACCUGCUCCUAGAAGAUCAAGCAGGCCUCAUGUCCCUCCUGCACAUCUUCAGCAAUACAUCUGUAACCUUUCUCCUUCCAUCUCUGGCACUAGUUCUUUUUCCACUUGCUGUAACAGCUCAGUUCACACUACACAUGUUGAGCCUACCUCGUACAGCCAGGCUGCUUCUGAUCCUGCCUGGCAGGAUGCAAUGACCAAUGAGUUUGAAGCUUUGGCAGCUAAUAAUACAUGGUCCAUAGUUCACCUUCCUCCUGGUAAGAGGCUUAUUGGAUGCAAGUGGGUUUACAAAAUUAAUUAUAGGGAAGAUGGGUGUGUGAAGAGAUAUAAAGCUCGGCUAGUUGUCAGGGGUGACACUCAGGUUGAGGGUGUGGACUUCACUGAUACAUUUUCUCCUGUUGUAAAAUUUUCUACUAUCAAGUCCUUGAUUGUUGUUGCUGUAAAACAGUCUUGGACUCUCUUUCAACUGGAUGUCAAUAAUGCUUUUCUCCAUGGUGAUAUAAAUGAAGAAGUAUAUAUGAAACUGCCCCCUGGUCUAACAGUCUCUUCUGCCUCUUUUUCUUCUUCUUCCCCUUUAGUAUGCCUCCUCCAAUAGAUGAAGAAGUAUAUAUGAAACUACCCCCUGGUCUAACAGUCUCUUCUACCUCUUCUUCUUCUUCUUCCC